RNAcentral lists this ribosomal RNA (320 nucleotides) under uncultured Prevotella sp. RNAcentral describes it as "bacterial SSU rRNA". It matches the Rfam family "Bacterial small subunit ribosomal RNA", at positions 28 to 339 of the family's 1533-position model. The record is from RNAcentral. Lineage: Bacteria; Pseudomonadati; Bacteroidota; Bacteroidia; Bacteroidales; Prevotellaceae.
GAUGAACGCUAGCUACAGGCUUAACACAUGCAAGUCGAGGGGCAGCAUGAUCGAAGCUUGCUUUGAUUGAUGGCGACCGGCGCACGGGUGAGUAACGCGUAUCCAACCUUCCCUAUAGUAGAGGAUAGCCCGGCGAAAGUCGGAUUAAUACUCUAUGUUUUCCAAUGCAGACAUCUAAGUUGGAACAAAGGUUCACCGCUAUAGGAUGGGGAUGCGUCUGAUUAGGUUGUUGGCGGGGUAACGGCCCACCAAGCCUACGAUCAGUAGCUGGUCUGAGAGGACGACCAGCCACAUUGGAACUGAGACACGGUCCAAACUCC